This 926-nucleotide long non-coding RNA is filed under the name Amborella trichopoda. RNAcentral describes it as "long non-coding RNA (ATRI_LNC004661)". Lineage: Eukaryota; Viridiplantae; Streptophyta; Magnoliopsida; Amborellales; Amborellaceae. The record is from RNAcentral.
AUUUCCACAGCCUUUGAAAUGAAAGAAUCAAAUAGAUAAGACUCAAAACUAAAUUUUGGUACAUACUUGCAUCUUUAGGCUCUUCUUCUUGUCUCUCUUCGAUUUCUAGAGCUCCAUGAGCGUCAAAAUCGCUUUGUAUUCCUCAAUUUCAAACUUGUUUAAUAAAUAUGUUGCAAACUUUGGCAUAGAAAUACCUUUUGACAUUUAUCUAUCUUCGAACGAAGAAAAAUGCCUCGGCUCCUCCAGCUCUUUCAUAUCAUUCCUCACUGAGAGAUGAGCAUCAUCUCAUUAUGUCUCUUGUGAUGUGUUGACAUGUGAAAUUUUGGAAGAGAGACAUGCUCCCCACCUCGUUUCGCAUUUAAAUUCUGUCGAUCAGUGGUAGGAAAAUGGGAUUUCAGUCAAAUCGUGAUCUGCAAGAGAGACUGGCCUAUAGGCCCACCCUUGUGGAUCGCUGGCAAUGCCAGCUUGUAGGGCGAUGAAACUGAGAAUCCGCAAGAAAAAGAAAUUUGGAGAGGUUAGGGAAAACAAAGGAGGUUUUAGAAGAUGUUUUUAAAAUAGAGUGAAUACAAGAAAAUAAAAAUGAAAAUGAAAGUUUGUGAGCCUACCCAGAAUGAAGUCGGGCCCACAGACUCAGCACUUGGAGUUGGCAGCCUGGAUCAGAGUCGUCGAUGAGACAGGACUGUUCCCGUGGUCUGUUGGAGAGCUGAGCUAGAGACACUCACUGUUGGAUUUGGAUCAUAGUUGAAGAUUGGUAGUUCGAGAAGAUAUGGACUGUCAUGGUCUGCAGUGCUUAAGGUCGUUCUUAUGUUAUGAUUUUGGAGGUUUUAAAUUUUGUGUGGGCUUGAGAGGAGUGGAUUAAGGUUACUGUAGGUGCAGGAAGGCCGAAAGGCUAGUGACAGGUCUAAGUUGAAGAUAGGGUUUCUAAG